This 1385-nucleotide long non-coding RNA is filed under the name Capra hircus (goat). RNAcentral describes it as "lncRNA (ENSCHIG00000005656.1)". Lineage: Eukaryota; Metazoa; Chordata; Mammalia; Artiodactyla; Bovidae. The record is from RNAcentral.
AGGCAAAUCAGGUUUUUCACAGAGAGCGUUUAUUCUGCAGCAUAACGCGGCUCCUCUUUUUACAAGGUGAGUAAACAUCCGUAAUGCACUAACGCACCUUUGGCAACACGUUUGUGUUAUGCUGGUUUUUAAUGUUUGUGGCUAAAAUCAAGUUGAUAUUUCCUCCCAAACCCAGGGCUUCGUGUCAUCGGCUUUAUGAGGUAACUGACGUCAAUCCGCAGCUGAUUAAUAGCCUGUGAUUAAAAAUAAAUUGUUUUUGAAUGGCAGACCAUGAUCAUAACAUCAAAAAUAUCCCCGGAAACCAGAAACAGAAGCAGCCGUGCCCGUGUCUGCCUGCGUCUGUGAUGAGACAUCCCUUCGUCACCCUUCCCGGCUGUACAGACUUCUAGAAAACGCCGUUUCUGUGAAAUCUAGGUUGUCAGCAUGCAAAGAAAGUUGGCAGAACACAGGGUUCCGUUGCUAAGUGAUCCUCAGCAAAUAAGAUACGUGUACAUUAUGGCAUUUGAUGACACCUUCAGGAGAGCAGAGAUUCCAGCCUGAUGGGAAACACAGUUUCCGAGAGAUGGGAGAGCGUGGGGGGUCUGUCCUGCCCGGCCGAGAACCCCAAGCCUGAGGUUGCCUGAGUCUCAGCUGGGAAAUGAAGUCAAGUUCUGUUUACUAUUCAGAGUCUCGGCUCUCUCCCUGUUGACUCUCGCCUGACCUUUGAAAGGGACAGAGUGAUGGCUCUGGUGUUUCCUUUCACUCUGUCAGAAGGCAAAUUCAGUGAUAGCCACAUGCCCAGGACUGUUGCACGUGCCUGGAAGAUGCUGACCGGAACGGUCAGCCAUGAGGAAACUUACAAAGGCGAGCAGAACUCUGCCACACUGAGAGGAAAAAACCUUUCAGAACAGGGUGCUAUUCCGAAAUUGAGACGUUUUUCUAGCAAACAACAUGAGUCUGGCAGUUGAAAAUUGCCCAGCAUUGAUGUUCAACAGGCAUUUCAUUUCAGUGGGGACUCCUUUAUCAGCUGUAAAGAAACUGCGUCAUUGAAAGCCUCCUCCAUUUCUUAAUCCUCCACGAUCAGCGCUCUGAAUAUUGUGCUGUUAACACGUAGGAAAGUCCCCAGUGUGAGGAUUUUGAAGGCUGGAUCUGUUUAACUCAGGGGCCUUGAGUUAGAAGCUCAUUGCCUGCAGAUGUUUUGCCCUAACGGGACUGGAAACCUGGCGGCUAACCACCAGCUAUAAAACGGGGUAAGUGGCCAUCACUCCAAGUUUCGGUUUCUUUACCUAUAAUAUGUAGAAAAUAAAACCACUACUUCUCAGGAUAUAAGAUGUAUAUUAGUUAAUAUGUGUGAAGUGCUUAGCACAAUGAAUAUGUUACCAUUUCUUCAUCUGUAAAACCAGGAU